GACGACGGCGGCGGCGGCGACACCCAUGACUUCCCUCUUCUCACUCUCACUCGCUCUCCUCUCCUUCCUGACGACCGCCGUCGCCGCUUCCGAGUUCACCUUCCACGAGGCCACCAUCGAGUCCAUCCACCUCGCCUUCGCCCAGAACAGGCUCACCUCCCGCCAGCUCGUCGACUUCUACCUGGACCGAAUCCAGACCCUGAACCCCUCCCUCCGCUGCGUCCUGGAGGUCAACCCCGACGCCCUCCAUCAGGCCGACGAGGCCGACCGGCUGCGGGCGGCGGCCGCCGGCGGCAACGGGACCCUGGGGGUUUUGCACGGGAUCCCCGUCCUGCUCAAGGACAGCAUCGGGACCGACGACAAGAUGAACACGACCGCCGGGUCGUACGCGCUGCUGGGGGCUCGCGUCGCGAGGGACGCCUUCGUGGUGGAGAGGUUGCGGAGCGCCGGGGCUGUGAUUCUGGGCAAGGCGAGUAUGAGCGAGUGGUACUGGCUCCGGUCCUCGGAGAUUCCCGAUGGCUGGUGCGCUCGAGGUGGACAGGGCUUGGUAAGUGUAUAUUGCUUCUCAUUUCGCAACCACGCGUUUUAAGUUUUGACGAUGUCGUGAUUGUUUCGAAUUUAACGUGCUUGUGAUGAAUCGGGCAGUCCGAGUAUGCGUCUGAAAGAUUUGAUUUCAUGAUUGAAUCCUCCCUCGAUGGAAGAUGCAGGGACCAGUGAAUAACUAAUGUUGACACUGCGAGCUGUGAUUAGGACAGGCCACAUAUAUGUUAGACAUUUGGAGGAUAAAUGCGCUCGUAGCUGCGGCAUCCGGGUGAGCGUGUGUAUAUGAAAGUACGCAUACUUGUUCAGGUAGUCACUUAGUUUGUCAUGGAUGUUCGGUUUCAGGGUGUGUUCCCCGGCAAGAACUGGGAAUAAUUGCCCUUUCUACUUUGUACUUCUCAUGGGAAAUGAUUUGAUGAAUAAGGUCGUGUGGGCUUUUCAGGUGAAGACCUGCUUCUCAUUAAGUCCUUCUAAAGAGUAUAGUGAUCUCAGGGACAGGUCCUGGACAUUUUCUCAGUGGGUUCAUUGGAGAACACAGGAGAUAUGCGCAUAUAGUUAUAAUGAUCUUGUUAGUGUUUUUUCUAUUGUUCCUGUAGAAUAUAUGUAGAAAAUCUUAAGCAUGAUGAUCUGUCAUUUGAUUUGGUGAUGUCAAAUUGCUUUUUUCUGUUCUUUUGGGUAAUAGUUUCACGUUAUUCGUCACAAGUUGUGUGAAAAACACAACAUUUACCUCUUAUUAUAAGUUCUUGAUCUGGAGUUUUGAAAUUCAUGCAUAUUAUUUUUCUCUUCAUUCUUGUUUGUCCUUCAUAUAUUACAAAACUGAUAAUCCAUGACAUUUCCCUAUCUGGAAAAUUAUAUAAAUGCUUGGUUAACCAUUUGUGCAUCCUCUUAAAAGUAACAGGAUCAUUCAUUAACUAAUUCAUCGCGGUGUUUAUACCAUACGAUUUGAAUUUCUAGUUUGGAUCUUUCACACACAUAAGUUUUGUAUGUUGUUCAAUGUUUAAACUUCUUCCUUUCUUUCAGUUUGAAGUUUUCAAAUUCUUUUUUCUUUCUUGACAGCUUUGCAGAUAUAUUAUAGUGUCAUUUAUAUGGCUGACAGUGGGGUCAAUCUCUGAAGUGUACUUGUCCAUACAAUUCUCCCCUGCAAAAUACUCAAUUAUAUUAUAGACUUUGGAAGUCCAGUGGGUAACUUGCCCCCACUGCACGACACUACAUGCUGCCCCUGUGAUUUUGACUGUGUCAGCGUGGAAAAGAUAUAUAUUUUUUUAUUUAACCUUGCUUCUCUAUGUUGCGUGCUUCUCAUGAAAAAUGAUAUGAUGAAUAUGUUGAAGGUCUGCUUCUCAGUAGGUCCUUCAUACUGUUCUUUGACCCCUAUGUCCAGAGUAAGAGUUUUUAUCCACUAAUUCUUCUCACUCUUACUUUUGCACAUAUUCAGAAUCCUUAUGUGAAGUCGGGCAACCCAUGUGGCUCCAGCAGUGGCUCAGCAAUAGCAGUGGCUGCAAACAUGGUUGCUGUGUCAUUAGGGACUGAAACUGAUGGUUCCAUCAUCUGCCCAGCUGAUCAUAAUUCGGUUGUUGGUUUCAAGCCCACGGUUGGAGUCACUAGUCGGGCAGGCGUUAUUCCACUUUCACCACGCCAAGACUCAAUUGGGUAAUAAUGUUUUGCAGUCUGGGACAGUGGUACCAAUGGCCUGCCUGUAUUUUACUUGUCACUCAUCCAUGAUCCUAUAGUUUGGUUGCUUAAGUUCUAUAAUGUCUAUUUAUUCAAUGUUAAGUCAGGCCCAUAAGCAGAACUGUGUCAGAUGCAAUCCAUGUACUUGAUGCAGUAGUUGGAUUUGAUCCAAGGGAUGAAGCUACAGGGGAAGCAGCCAAAUUCAUACCAAUGGGUGGUUACAAGCAGUUUCUUAGGGAAGAUGGUCUUAAGGGAAAAAGAUUGGGCAUAGUAAGAAAACCCUUUUCAGACUCUUUUAAGGGAGCCACUGCUGCUUCGACUUUUGAUCAGCAUCUUCUAACUUUGAGGUGAGAAUAAAGUGAAUUAGCGAUGCGGACCACUAUGUGUUCUGAAUCAGGGACCACUGCACCAGUGUCUUUACUUAGAAUAGUUGAUAUUGAAGUAAUUAUAAUCAAAACUGUUAUUUAUGUUAUUUUGAUCAUGUUGUUUCUUUUGGUAAAUUGAAGGAACAAUGGUGCAACUAUAGUGGAUAAUUUGGAUAUUGAAAACAUUGACAUCAUCCUGAAUCCAUCUCAGAGUGGUGAAAUGGCUCUACUGCUAGCUGAGUUCAAGCAUACUCUAAAUGAAUACUUAGGAGGAUUGAGCGACUCCCUGGUGAAGUCACUAGCAGAAGUUAUUGCCUUCAACUCCAACAAUCCUGAUUUGGUAAGUAUUGGAUCGUAGCAACAGUAAUGGAGGUCUUAGAUUCUCUCUGAACUCUCUUCCACUACGUAACAAGAUGUAGCUCACCAGUCUCGGCCAGAAAAAAGAUUGAUGGAUUUCCUUCUGUUUCAUUGACCUUCUGAUUAAUACUCACUAACUCAAGCCUCAAAUACUGCAGGAGAAGAUGGAAGAGUAUGGUCAGGAUGGGUUAAUUGCAGCACAGAUGACAAACAUACUUGAUGAGGAAGUUGUCAAGACAGAACGUAUGAUGAAAAAGUUGUCCGAAGAGGGAUUUGAAAAACUAAUGAAGGAAAACGAGUUGGAUGCUAUGGUGACACUAGGUGCAGAUGCUGCCACAAUUCUGGCAAUUGGAGGCUAUCCAGCGCUUACUGUUCCCGCUGGAUAUGACGACAAUGGAAUGCCAUAUGGAAUUUGCUUUGGGGGAUUGAAGGGAUCGGAAGCCAAGUUGAUUGAGAUUGCCUAUUCUUUUGAACAAGCCACAAGGAUUCGUAAACCUCCUCUUUCAUUUUCUUUUGAAUUUCACAAUCAGUAUUAUGAGUAAAGCAAUGGCACCGUGCGCAUACACGAGUUUUCCACUUCAUUUCCAAUGAGAAUGCGUCGAAAGUUGUGAGGCUAGGUAAGAUGUCUGUAACUAGUUAAGAGAUACAAGGUUCGUAUUAUUUGCUAUCUAGUCUGACUGUUCCUUAGAGCUGUCUGUAACAUCUGUUUCUUGUGUAUAUUUGACAAAUAACUACUGCAAUGUAAAUAAGCUCUAGUUCAUCGAGUUGCGAAUGAUAAUUUUAUUUCGGUCGGGACACAUGUUUUAGUUAGCCCAUGCUUGAUAUAUUAGCUCCGGAUAAUCUAGGCUGUGAAUUUUCAGAAUUUGUUAUGUCUGCAUUCAUGUUAUAGUAAAAAUUCAACCAAACUUUGAAGAUUUUUACAUUUUAGCAGUCCCAAUUUUGCUUGUGCUCAUCUCACUUUUCACAACCCAUAAUUAACUUCUGCCUAGCGAUCAUGAUGUGCUGAUAUCUUGCUUUUUCUCUUUCUUGUCGAAAGUGCACGCAUGAUUUCACAUUUCGUUAUGUUCUCUUACCUCCAUUGUUGAGCCAUUCUUGCAUCUUGACCUGCAUAUAGAAGCAGCCGCAUUGCCUUUGGCCGGAGGUCUUGAAUAGCGGAGCAGAGCAUACGAUCAUCAUGCAGGAACGCUGACCUGGAAAGAUACCAAUAGAAGUUCCAAGGUUGGUGCUGAUAAACCAAUGAAUUCAUAUCGGUCACCAUAAUCAUGGCCACCUCUUUCUUGGUGUAAUUUUUAGCCUUUUGCCUUUUCCUAAAUUAGGAAUUGCAGAUCCUCUCCUGAUUCUGAUGAGUGGUUCUCGGCUUUUCUUGUUCUUGCUAAAUUAAGUCUGUUCACUGUUGAGCUAAGUUCUGGACUCAUCUGAUUGACACCAACGGCUACUAGCCCACCUUAAAUUUAUUUUCUCAAAGUUGACGAAAAUAAUGAUUAAAAUCAUAAAUAAAAAGUUUGAAAUAAUGGCUGUGCAUUGUCAUGAAUUGUUAUAAGCUUACUUUUUUUUUUUUCCUUAUAACGUGAAGUGUCUAAAUUUGUAAGCCUGAUUAAUUCCAAAUAAUCGUGCUCUUGCAUGAGGUCCCGAUAAUGCACAUCGAAUAAAGUUACCCCUAAGAUAGAAAAAAGUUCAUGAAAUAUUUGACUAAAAGAGCCUCGGAGCACAAGAGGAUAUAAGUUAAAUUAUCGAAAAUAUGGAAUUAUGUUUCUAAUCAAAAUAUUAAGUCAACCAAGACCCAGAAAAGCUGUGAUUUAACUUGCUCCAAAGCAUGAAUUUUUGCGAUGCUUCCAUCUGUAGCCAGCGUCAACAGAUUUCUUUCACGCUAAGUUUAGUGACUACUCUCGACUUUAUUAUUGAGUCCCCAUGUUUAAUAACAUAUCUUCUUUUUUUUAAAAAAAUAUUAUGGAGGGAACUUCUUCAUCACUUGCUUGGAGUUGCAGACUCUCUUGGAGUUGCAGACACUCUCUCUUUCUCUCUCUUCAAGUUUCAGCGUUGACCGCAGGUUCGAACUCCGGACACCGAUCACCACUCGGCGACGGCGACGGCGAAGGCGACGAUGACUUCCCUCUUCUCGCUCUCCCUCGCUCUCCUCUCCCUCUCCUUCCUGACGACCGCCGUCGCUGCUUCCGAGUUCACCUUCCACGAGGCCACCAUCGAGUCCAUCCACCUCGCCUUCGCCCAGAACAGGCUCACCUCCCGCCAGCUCGUCGACUUCUACCUGGACCGAAUCCAGACCCUGAACCCCUCCCUCCGCUGCGUCCUGGAGGUCAACCCCAACGCCCUCGCCCAGGCCGACGAGGCCGACCGGCUGCGGGC
Molecule: long non-coding RNA, 5291 nt
Filed under: Eucalyptus grandis
Lineage: Eukaryota; Viridiplantae; Streptophyta; Magnoliopsida; Myrtales; Myrtaceae
Description: long non-coding RNA (EGRA_LNC005629)
Source: RNAcentral